Molecule: ribosomal RNA, 253 nt
Filed under: uncultured bacterium
Lineage: Bacteria
Description: partial 16S ribosomal RNA
Rfam family: Bacterial small subunit ribosomal RNA
Source: RNAcentral
UACAGAGGUCCCAAGCGUUGUUCGGAUUUACUGGGCGUAAAGGGUGCGUAGGCGGUCGGACAAGUCUGAUGUGAAAUCUCCAGGCUCAACUUGGAAAAGGCAUUAGAAACUGUUCGGCUAGAGGGUUGGAGGGGGGACUGGAAUUCUCGGUGUAGCAGUGAAAUGCGUAGAUAUCGAGAGGAACACCAGUGGCGAAGGCGAGUCCCUGGACAACUCCUGACGCUGAGGCACGAAAGCUAGGGGAUCAAACAGG